RNAcentral lists this ribosomal RNA (460 nucleotides) under uncultured bacterium. RNAcentral's name for it is "partial 16S ribosomal RNA". It matches the Rfam family "Bacterial small subunit ribosomal RNA", at positions 338 to 795 of the family's 1533-position model. The record is from RNAcentral.
CCUACGGGUGGCAGCAGUGAGGAAUAUUGGUCAAUGGGCGCGAGCCUGACCCAGCCAAGUAGCGUGAAGGAUGACUGCCCUACGGUUUGUAACCUUCUUUUAUAAAGGAAUAAAGUGAGGCACGUGUGCCUUCUUGUAUGCACUUUAUGAAUAAGGAUCGGCUAACUCAGUGCCAGCAGCCGCGGUACUACGGAGGAUCCGAGCGUUAUCCGGGUUUAUUGGGUUUAAAGGGAGCGUAGAUGGGUUGUUAAGUCAGUUGUGAAAGUUUGCGGCUCAACCGUAAAAAUGCAAGUGAUACUGGCAGUCUUGAGUACAGGUGAGGUAGGCGGAAUUCGUGGUGUAGCGGUGAAAUGCGUAGAUAUCACGAAGAACACCGAUUGCGAAGGCAGCUUACUAAACUGCCACUGACAUUGAUGCUCGAAAGUGUGGGUAUCAAACAGGAUUAGAUACCCCUGUAGUC